GUCGCCUCCUAAAAGGUAACGGAGGCGCUCAAAGGUUCCCUCAGAAUGGUUGGAAAUCAUUCAUAGAGUGUAAAGGCAUAAGGGAGCUUGACUGCGAGACCUACAAGUCGAGCAGGGUCGAAAGACGGACUUAGUGAUCCGGUGGUUCCGCAUGGAAGGGCCAUCGCUCAACGGAUAAAAGCUACCCCGGGGAUAACAGGCUUAUCUCCCCCAAGAGUUCACAUCGACGGGGAGGUUUGGCACCUCGAUGUCGGCUCAUCGCAUCCUGGGGCUGUAGUCGGUCCCAAGGGUUGGGCUGUUCGCCCAUUAAAGCGGUACGCGAGCUGGGUUCAGAACGUCGUGAGACAGUUCGGUCCCUAUCCGUCGUGGGCGUAGGAAAUUUGAGAGGAGCUGUCCUUAGUACGAGAGGACCGGGAUGGACAUACCUCUGGUGUACCAGUUGUCGUGCCAACGGCAUAGCUGGGUAGCUAUGUGUGGACGGGAUAAGUGCUGAAAGCAUCUAAGCAUGAAGCCCCCCUCAAGAUGAGAUUUCCCAACUUCGGUUAUAAGAUCCCUCAAAGAUGAU
RNAcentral lists this ribosomal RNA (565 nucleotides) under Staphylococcus aureus. RNAcentral describes it as "partial 23S ribosomal RNA". It matches the Rfam family "Bacterial large subunit ribosomal RNA", at positions 2282 to 2848 of the family's 2925-position model. The record is from RNAcentral. Lineage: Bacteria; Bacillati; Bacillota; Bacilli; Caryophanales; Staphylococcaceae.